GACGAACGCUGGCGGCGUGCUUAACACAUGCAAGUCGAACGGAAAGGCCCUGCUUUUGUGGGGUGCUCGAGUGGCGAACGGGUGAGUAACACGUGAGUAACCUGCCCUUGACUUUGGGAUAACUUCAGGAAACUGGGGCUAAUACCGGAUAGGAGCUCCUGCUGCAUGGUGGGGGUUGGAAAGUUUCGGCGGUUGGGGAUGGACUCGCGGCUUAUCAGCUUGUUGGUGGGGUAGUGGCUUACCAAGGCUUUGACGGGUAGCCGGCCUGAGAGGGUGACCGGCCACAUUGGGACUGAGAUACGGCCCAGACUCCUACGGGAGGCAGCAGUGGGGAAUAUUGCACAAUGGGCGGAAGCCUGAUGCAGCAACGCCGCGUGCGGGAUAACGGCCUUCGGGUUGUAAACCGCUUUCGCUUGUGACGAAGCGUGAGUGACGGUAAUGGGUAAAGAAGCACCGGCUAACUACGUG
RNAcentral lists this ribosomal RNA (468 nucleotides) under uncultured bacterium. Its description in RNAcentral is "partial 16S ribosomal RNA". It matches the Rfam family "Bacterial small subunit ribosomal RNA", at positions 28 to 507 of the family's 1533-position model. The record is from RNAcentral.